Molecule: long non-coding RNA, 400 nt
Organism: Mauremys mutica (yellowpond turtle)
Lineage: Eukaryota; Metazoa; Chordata; Testudines; Geoemydidae
Exons: 3
Source: RefSeq, a predicted model, not a curated record
GUAGGUCUGACUUAUUUCCAUGGACCCAGCACCGAACUCCAUGAGGAAGAAUCCCAUGUGCACUUGUGCUUGCGCGCUGAUUGGAGAAUGGAAGAGGCUAGGAAAUCAUCGCAGAGCUACUGUCAUGCCCAAAGGCCCCAAUCUGGAUUGGACCUCCACUGGGCGAGGCCAUGUACAGAUGCCUAGGAAGAGACAGCUCUGCCCUGAAGCGCUGACCAUCUCAUUACACAGACUGACAAGGCAGAGGGAGCAUGGUGCAGAGGCCUGGAACGCUGGAUGGUGCAGGUGCUUGUGACUCAGCGUCGGCUGCUGCGCGGGAGCUGCAUGGGAACAAUGCCCGACUCACAAAGCACCCUUUAUGCUGCCGCUUCCCACAGUUUCUGGUUUGCUGAGAUAAGUA